CUUAAAGAGAAGGUGGAUUUUCUGCUGAGCCACCCGAGAAGCCCUUUUAUACCUCCUUACUCAGCCAGCUGCCUGUGGCUCGCCAGUCCGUCCUGUCCAGCCAGCGGCACUCUCUGGUUUUCUCCUCCAGACUUGGGCUCACAAGCAUCUAAAGCAAGAUGUCUGAGUAAG
Molecule: non-coding RNA, 171 nt
Organism: Phalacrocorax carbo (great cormorant)
Lineage: Eukaryota; Metazoa; Chordata; Aves; Suliformes; Phalacrocoracidae
Source: RefSeq, a predicted model, not a curated record